Molecule: ribosomal RNA, 511 nt
Filed under: uncultured Microgenomates group bacterium
Lineage: Bacteria
Description: bacterial SSU rRNA
Rfam family: Bacterial small subunit ribosomal RNA
Source: RNAcentral
AACGGGAUUAGAUACCCCGGUAGUCCACGCCGUAAAUGAUGGAUACUGGACAUUGGUACUCGAUCGUAUCAGUGUCUCAAGCUAACGCAUUAAGUAUCCCGCCUGGGGAGUACGGUCGCAAGAUUAAAACUCAAAGGAAUAGACGGGGACCCACACAAGCGGUGGAGCAUGUGGUUUAAUUCGACAAUAAGCGAGGAACCUUACCAGGGCUUGACAUCCCGAGAAUUCUUUAGAAAUAGAGAAGUGCCUUUAUGGAACUCGGUGACAGGUGCUGCAUGGUUGUCGUCAGCUCGUGCCUUGAGGUGUUCGGUUAAGUCCGUAAACGAGCGCAACCCUAGUCCUAUGUUGUAUAUUUCAUAGGAGACUGCCUUGUCCAACGAGGAGGAAGGUUAGGAUGACGUCAAAUCAGCAUGGCCCUUAUGUCCUGGGCGACACACGUGCUACAAUGGUCGGUACAAUGGGUAGCCAACCCGCGAGGGGGAGCCAAUCCCAUCAAAGCCGGUCCAAGUUC